RNAcentral lists this ribosomal RNA (441 nucleotides) under uncultured bacterium. RNAcentral describes it as "partial 16S ribosomal RNA". It matches the Rfam family "Bacterial small subunit ribosomal RNA", at positions 338 to 795 of the family's 1533-position model. The record is from RNAcentral.
CCUACGGGUGGCUGCAGUGGGGGAUAUUGCACAAUGGGGGGAACCCUGAUGCAGCGACGCCGCGUGGGUGAAGGAGCGUUUCGGCGCGUAAAGCCCUAUCGGCAGGGAAGAAGAUGACGGUACCUGACCAAGAAGCCCCGGCUAACUACGUGCCAGCAGCCGCGGUAAUACGUAGGGGGCAAGCGUUGUUCGGAAUGACUGGGCGUAAAGGGUGUGUAGGUGGUUUGAUAAGUUAGAUGUGUAAUACCCAGGGCUUAACUCGGGUGCUGCAUCUAAAACUGUUAGACUUGAGUACUGGAGAGUAUAGUGGAAUUCCUAGUGUAGCGGUGGAAUGCGUAGAUAUUAGGAGGAACAUCAGUGGCGAAGGCGACUAUCUGGACAGCAACUGACACUGAGGCACGAAAGCGUGGGGAGCAAACAGGAUUAGAUACCCCAGUAGUC